GUGCCAGCAGCCGCGGUAAUACGUAGGUCCCGAGCGUUGUCCGGAUUUAUUGGGCGUAAAGCGAGCGCAGGCGGUUAGAUAAGUCUGAAGUUAAAGGCAGUGGCUCAACCAUUGUAGGCUUUGGAAACUGUUUAACUUGAGUGCAGAAGGGGAGAGUGGAAUUCCAUGUGUAGCGGUGAAAUGCGUAGAUAUAUGGAGGAACACCGGUGGCGAAAGCGGCUCUCUGGUCUGUAACUGACGCUGAGGCUCGAAAGCGUGGGGAGCGAACAGGAUUAGAUACCCUAGUAGUCC
This 291-nucleotide ribosomal RNA is filed under the name uncultured Streptococcus sp. RNAcentral describes it as "partial 16S ribosomal RNA". It matches the Rfam family "Bacterial small subunit ribosomal RNA", at positions 505 to 796 of the family's 1533-position model. The record is from RNAcentral. Lineage: Bacteria; Bacillati; Bacillota; Bacilli; Lactobacillales; Streptococcaceae.